UUUAAAUAUCUUGUUGCCCUAAAAGUAAGAUUCUUUUAUAGAGUUUUUUAAAACUUGAUUUGGUUGAACACAAUACUGCUUGAAAACACAAUAGUAUUU
Molecule: long non-coding RNA, 99 nt
Organism: Melitaea cinxia (Glanville fritillary)
Lineage: Eukaryota; Metazoa; Arthropoda; Insecta; Lepidoptera; Nymphalidae
Exons: 3
Source: RefSeq, a predicted model, not a curated record